This is a non-coding RNA of Salmo salar (Atlantic salmon), 714 nucleotides long. The record is from RefSeq and is a predicted model, not a curated record. NCBI's taxonomy places the organism in Eukaryota, Metazoa, Chordata, Actinopteri, Salmoniformes, Salmonidae.
UUUUAUAAAGAGUGGAAAGGGAAAUGAGCGGUUCUUGCAUGCACCAGAGGAUUUUCAGAGCUGAAAUAAUAGAAAAUGCAUAGCCUAUUAUUGUGUAUUUGGCAAGGUCUCGCCUCAGAGAAAUGGGUGUAGGACGUGGCUUAAUUUUCCAUUAGGAAAACCCCAUGGGUCUCAGGACUCUUGUAAUCAAUGUAAUUGUUGUUGGCCCCUCCUUUGCCAUUAGGACUUGUGGCAACGGACAUAACCUUGUAUUCCUGACAGCACAUUGAAACCCGUGUACAGAGAGUAUAUUCAACAAAAUAAUUUUAAAAGAGGUUGAAAAUCCUUCAUAUAAACCGACAAGGGCCUGUGAUUGCAGAGCAGACAGAUCCUGCAAACUACAUCGUUCAUUGGGAGAUGGAAUACCGUUACGAGAUGGAGCCCUUGUCUAUCCGCUUUCUUCGGACCUUCAAAGAACUUCUGAAAUUUGUUCUCUUCAGUUACACAGUGCUGUUAGGUGCUUUGCUCUUAGCAGGCUGGACAACAUACUUAAUGGUUGCAAAAUAAAAAGGGGAACUUUGAGUUGCUUUAUUAGGCUAUAGAGUGGCUAUUAUAAAAUAAUUUGUGUUAUGUUGUUGUUAAAAUAGCCACACUGUACAGUGAAUGUGUCCAACAUGACCUGGGACAAAUAUGUUACCAAAUAAUAAAGCUAUAACGGCAUGUUCCCAAAUAGUA